Molecule: ribosomal RNA, 897 nt
Filed under: Nitrospira sp.
Lineage: Bacteria; Pseudomonadati; Nitrospirota; Nitrospiria; Nitrospirales; Nitrospiraceae
Description: bacterial SSU rRNA
Rfam family: Bacterial small subunit ribosomal RNA
Source: RNAcentral
AAUUUUGAGAGUUUGAUCCUGGCUCAGAACGAACGCUGGCGGCGCGCCUAACACAUGCAAGUCGAACGAGAGGCUCUUCGGAGUAGUAAAGUGGCGUACGGGUGAGUAAUACAUGGGUAAUCUGCCUUUGAGCGGGGGAUAACCAGCCGAAAGGCUGGCUAAUACCCCAUACGCUUCCGGUCCUUCGGGUAAGGAAGGAAAGCUGCAUCGUGGAUGUGGCACUCGAAGAUGGGCUCAUGGCCUAUCAGCUUGUUGGUGGGGUAACGGCCUACCAAGGCAACGACGGGUAGCUGGUCUGAGAGGACGAUCAGCCACACUGGCACUGAGAUACGGGCCAGACUCCUACGGGAGGCAGCAGUGAGGAAUAUUGCGCAAUGGGCGAAAGCCUGACGCAGCGACGCCGCGUGGGGGAAGAAGGUUUUCGGAUUGUAAACCCCUUUUAGGAGGAAAGAUGGGGUGGUUUUCCACCCGGACGGUACCUCCAGAAAAAGCCACGGCUAACUUCGUGCCAGCAGCCGCGGUAAUACGAAGGUGGCGAGCGUUGUUCGGAUUUACUGGGCGUAAAGAGCACGUAGGCGGUUUAGUAAGCCCCUUGGGAAAGCUACGGGCUUAACCCGUAAAGGUCGAGGGGGACUGCUAAGCUAGAGGGCGGGAGAGGAGCGCGGAAUUUCCGGUGUAGCGGUGAAAUGCGUAGAUAUCGGGAAGAAGGCCGGUGGCGAAGGCGGCGCUCUGGAACGUCUCUGACGCUGAGGUGCGAAAGCGUGGGGAGCAAACAGGAUUAGAUACCCUGGUAGUCCACGCCGUAAACGAUGGGUACUAAGUGUCGGCAGGUUACUGUCGGUGCCGCAGUUAACGCAGUAAGUACCCCGCCUGGGGAGUACGGCCGCAAGGUUGAAA